GAUGAGCGCUGGCGGCGUGCCUAAUACAUGCAAGUCGAGCGGUAACAGGUCUAGUUUACUAGAUGCUGACGAGCGGCGGACGGCUGAGUAACACGUAGGAACGUACCCCAAAGUGAGGGAUAACUGCUCGAAAGAGUAGCUAAUACCGCAUGUGAUCUAAGGAUUAAAGCUUUAUGCGCUUUGGGAACGGCCUGCGUUCGAUUAGCUAGUUGGUGAGGUAANAGCUCACCAAGGCGAUGAUCGAUAGCUGGUCUGAGAGGAUGAUCAGCCAGACUGGGACUGAGACACGGCCCAGACUCCUACGGGAGGCAGCAGUAGGGAAUUUUCCACAAUGGACGAAAGUCUGAUGGAGCAACGCCGCGUGCA
RNAcentral lists this ribosomal RNA (366 nucleotides) under uncultured bacterium. Its description in RNAcentral is "bacterial SSU rRNA". It matches the Rfam family "Bacterial small subunit ribosomal RNA", at positions 28 to 405 of the family's 1533-position model. The record is from RNAcentral.